Pelobates cultripes (western spadefoot toad) is the source of this 206-nucleotide non-coding RNA. NCBI's taxonomy places the organism in Eukaryota, Metazoa, Chordata, Amphibia, Anura, Pelobatidae. The record is from the annotation of a GenBank genome assembly.
CUAUGUAUGAGGGGCGGGAUCUUUUUUAGUGGCUCAAAAUAUUUAUUGCUUUGAGUUUUUUAAUUUUAUACUUCAUUUUGCUUUAUUCAAUUCAUCAUGUGGAAUUGCAGUCUGACUUGCUGCUGUUUUAGCUUGUACUAUAUUUCUGUAUCAAUGUAUCUUCAAGUAUUGCAUUAAAAUAUAUCCACUGUCAUAUCAUCAUUUCU